ACAAAAAACACAAAUCAAAUUUUUGGUGACACAAAAGUCUUUAAAAUGUGUAAUUUCUAAACAUUUAGCAAAAUAUUUAGCAAAAAUACACAAAUACAAAUGUGUCAUGAAGUACAAUGUGAGCGACAACACAACCAAACUCAAAAUUCACAGCGGAAACUCUCAUUUCUACCACAAAACAGAAAAUAAUGUAUGUGGUCUGAAUUAAAAAAAGAUCAGCAGAGAUUAGGUUGCUUGGAAACUUUAAUCAUUGCAACUACUUGCAGUAAUUUUAGUUCAGCACUGAAUACAGUUAGGCGAUUUCUAAUGUAUUCUAAUGCGCCUUUGUGUUUCUAGAUGUUACAGUUCUUAAAUUGAAGAUGACCUCUUUGGUGGACUUGUCUAAAAUUGAUAGAGAUACCUUCCUUUCACAGAUCAAAAAUUUGCUGAUAUCCAAAGGGCUGCCCCCACACAUGAUCGUCCGACUAAUAAGCAGCAAUGCACAGAUUGGUCCAACCGCAACACCCUCUACUGGCAAAACAUGAACUGGCAGCUUAAGGAGCUUCUUCAUGGCAGCUGUUGAAUGAAGUUCAGUCUUCACUGUUCUUUAACACACAUUUUUAAUAAUUACAAUCACUUCUCAAGAGCAGCUUUUAAAAGCAACAUGUUACCCUGACUCUCCAGUGCUACACAGCAAAUCCAGCAUGUCAAAAUUAACACUGUCAGAUUUGAUUUCAACACUAUUAAAUUGUCUAUAUGGGUCCACACCAGAGAGUGUUAAUUUAACUCUUUUUGGAGAGUUGGUAAGUUAACUCUGAUUUAGUGUUAAACACCAAAUCUAUCUGGAGUUGAUAAUUUAACACUUACUAAUGCUAACUAGGUGUUAAGAGUUUAUAUAUUAACUCUCAAAGAGUAUUUUAGUUUAACUACAUAAGAGUUAUCUUCUAAUUAAUUCUAAAAAGUGGAAAUUCUACUGUUCUGAACUUCUAGAAAUUCCUUUGGAAAUAAACAUUAAAAAGAUGCAAUGGUUUUUGAAAAACAUUUAUUCUGAACUGUGCACCACAAUUUCAAAACAUUUUCUGAAAGAAAACAAUCUACAUGUUCUCACUUUCAUUAGAAUUUUGUUUAUCAAAAGGUCUGACAUAGGUGAGCUGGUAAAUGCAAAUAAAUAACAGCAUUCUCAUCACUUAUUUCUUCAAUACAAUAUGCAUGUCCUUCAUUCAUCACUUUGUGGAACUUCAACGCACUUCUGCUCUCCCCCAUAUUCCACCUUCAUAUUCACAGCAUAUUCUGUGUGGAGAUUGAUUAAAAAUUGAUUAAAAAUUAGUUGACACUAAUUUAUUGCACAAUUAAUCCGAUAAUCAAUUGCAGCACAGUAAAAAAAAAGGAAUAAUUUUUGAGCCAUUACUUGUGUAAAGUAUUUUCCCAAAAGACAAGCACACAGACAACAGGUAAUACUGAACUAAAUUUAAAACCUCAUCUUUUUCAUUUUUACCUAAACCAUGUGCACAAAACUCUGGAGGGAUCUAAAUGCUAACGUAGAACCCAGUCAGGACAUAUAUAGAAAAAAACGAGCAAACAGCGGUAGCUGCUGUUUGCUCAUUUUUUUUUUUUUUUUUUUUUUAUAGGAGAUCGUUUUCAGGCUUCAAGUAGCACCAUUAUACCAACAUUUCACAUUGUAGACAUUGUUUUAGGUUUAUUUAAGUUGACCAAAAAUUUGACUGAAAAUUCACAUGCAAGCUUUUUUUCAAGGCUGUAGUAUUUGCCUGCAAACAAUACAUUUCAGCUAGCUAAAACAGAAUAUCAUGCUAUCACCGAGCAACAUGGCUAAUGACUUUCACACAGCUUUGUCUCAACUCCAAAGAGCCACAGAAGUAAAAGCUAAUAAUAAUAAGUGAAACAAUCUUUGAAAAAAUGACUUACCAAGAAUGGCAAACAACUCAAAUAUGUAGAGCAAAAGGUUCUGAAACGCUUCACUUCAGCUUCGAUUGGAGCCUAUGGUGCUGGGGGCGGAGUCUGUGAAUUUACUCUAUUAGUGUCAUAGCCCCUCUAGGAGUUCGGAGUUAAGAGCUCAAGAGUUAAUGUUUCCAUUGUAACACCUCCAGAUUUGACAUAGAAACACUAAUUUUUAACACUCAGUUUUAACUACUAUAAUUUUACACCGCAGAGUUACAUUAAAGGAAUGUGACUCUACUAAGAGUAAAAUUAACUCUACUUUUGCAAGAAGACUACUAACACCAAUACAUUUAACACUUUUGAAUUUGCUGUGUAUAAUCUGAAAUUAAUUAAUUUGGACUUAAUUU
Molecule: long non-coding RNA, 2282 nt
Organism: Oreochromis niloticus (Nile tilapia)
Lineage: Eukaryota; Metazoa; Chordata; Actinopteri; Cichliformes; Cichlidae
Source: Ensembl